Molecule: long non-coding RNA, 138 nt
Organism: Acanthaster planci (crown-of-thorns starfish)
Lineage: Eukaryota; Metazoa; Echinodermata; Asteroidea; Valvatida; Acanthasteridae
Source: RefSeq, a predicted model, not a curated record
GAAAAAUGUUAUUUUGGGCCGGAGAAAUGACUCAAAAAAGGGUUAUAGCUUACGGGGCCCGGCCAAGGUUAUCACAGAGUUCUAAGAGCAAAGGGACAGGUACAAAUCUAACCACUAUUGUUUGAAGACAAUGGUCUU